AGGGGAUUGUGGGUCUCAGCCGGGCCCUGGAGCUCUGCCUUGCCUGGGUGUCCUAUUUUGUCUGUGUCUGUGCAUGCAGUUUUUUCAGAUUACCAGUAUAUAUGGCCUUCUUUUUUUAAUAUAUGUCUGCCACAGUUUUCAAAUUAGCUUUCAUCUGAGCAUUGUGAUGAUUCUCUGAACAGCCUCACCUAAUGUCCCCCGAUAUUGAAACUAGACAAGUCUCUCCCAAGAUUGCUGCUUCCAUGUUGUUCUAGUCCAUUCCUGUCACUCAUGUUACUACAUCCAGCUCUGCAUAUCCCAAAUCUUGCCCUUUUCCUGGACUCCCUGCAACUCCUCCUUGUCCCACUGUACACCUGGUAGGACUCUGAUUCGUACAGAUUUCCUCUAUCUUCACAUUAUAAUGUUACCCACAUAACCCUGGCUCUCUUCUCUAAUGCCCAGAGCCUCUCACUUGGACUAAGGACUAAGAAGCUUUCAACAAGUCCCAGGCCCCCACCUCCACAUUCAGAGCAUUCUGGAUUGCCUGGUGGAUGCUAGUUCACAGCACCCACACCCAUCCACCACCCACCUCUGCCCUCCUUUUUCCUCUCUCCCUUUGGCCCAGGUAGAAGCUUUCAGGUCAGUAAUACAAAGUCACAUCUCCUUAGCUCUUUAAUGUCUAGACUGUGCACCAGACCACCAUCCUGGCAACUUCUCUGUCCAGUCAAAUUGACCUAGACUUUACUUCUCAAAUGGGCUCAUAAUUCCGAUGCAUGUGAAUUCUCUGCAUGGAGCACACUGCCCAUUCAUGGCAAAGCUCCCCACGUCCCAUGCUCCUUUAAGGUGGGGUCAGUGUUAGGUUUAGGGAAGGGUUGACCCAAACGGUCAACCCUUGGCAUCUAGACCUGUGAAAGACCUUAGCCUUGGGGAGGAUGCCUGCACGUGGCAGCCAAGAGAGGUCUGCUGUCGGCAUGGCAGUCAUUGUGGGGAGCUCUUUUCUCCCUGCUGGACUCCGCAAUUCCUUAGUACAUUGCCAUGAACAGCUCAUAGGAGAGAGCUGUGAUGACUGACCGAGAAUAGGAAAAGGAGAGAUUAUUGUGGCGGGCAGAAUGAGGAAAGCAGUUGAUCAGAAGACAAUUGAGGCUGAGAACUCUUUCAAGUGUGAACUGAAGUGGGAUGUUUACUCCUUGAAUUUGUUUCCCCCUUUUUAGAGUAUUGUACCAGCCACUGCUUGGUAGUUCAUUGGAGCUAAUUAAGUCCAGGCUUCUGGCAUUAUAUGUAUGUGUAUAUAUAUGUGUGUGUGUGUAUGUAUAUAUAUAUACAUACAUGAAGUAUAUAUAAGCACAUAUAUAUAUAUAUAUACUUUGUAAGUGUUAAAUCAUUCAGGGAAAGAGGAAAUUCAUUAUAUUUACUGUGUCUUUGCAGAUAAAUAUAAAGACAUGAACUGGGAAAUCCAAUCCUAUUUUGAUUUCUUUUCUUUGCUGUGUGGGUGGAGUAUAUGGGCCCUGUUUCAUUGCCCAGGCUGAACCCAUCUGUGCACAAAACCAGGCCCCAUCUUGGGGUUACCAUUGGGACUGGCCAACUUAACGAACUAAGCUUGGCUCAUGGCAAGGACAGCCUCUACGUGGUCAUUCUGUGACUGUCCACGUCUUUCAGAAAUAGCAUGCUGCCCACUGUGCAGAAACUGACUACGUUUAAUUGUCAGCCCCCAAAGGCAUGAGAUGGAAAUGCUCCCACAUACGUAUACUUUCACUGCAGAGCUGGUCACACUGUCAGCUGAGUCCAUUUCCGGAAAGUUCUGUUCAUUGAACAGUAUACUUAGCAUCAAGACUUUUUAGAGAGCAAUGAAAUAAAAACAAAAAGAAGGUUUUUGUGCUCUAAGUAAGGAAACAUUCAUUUUUGCCAGGACCAAAUGUGUAAAAAGAAUAAAUUAUAUUUUAAAGGAAACGGGAAUUUCAAAAUAACACCACCAAAAAAAGGGAUUUUUUUUUUCCUACACUUUUAGUCAGGAUUCCUUCUGUCAAGAGUGGUAACCCGGUCUUGGUAAACAAUGUGCUCAGAGAAAAAAAAAAUAAAGUUUUUUUAAUUUCUGAAUUCAAAAUAAACAUC
Molecule: long non-coding RNA, 2088 nt
Filed under: Homo sapiens (human)
Lineage: Eukaryota; Metazoa; Chordata; Mammalia; Primates; Hominidae
Description: non-protein coding lnc-LCA5L-2:1
Source: RNAcentral